GACGAACGCUGGCGGCGUGCUUAACACAUGCAAGUCGAACGGAAAGGCCCUGCUUUUGUGGGGUGCUCGAGUGGCGAACGGGGGUGUAACACGUGAGUAACCUGCCCUUGACUUUGGGAUAACUUCAGGAAACUGGGGCUACUACCGGAUAGGAGCUCCUGCUGCAUGGUGGUGGUUGGAGAGUUUCGGCGGUUGGGGAUGGACUCGCGGCUUAUCAGCUUGUUGGUGGGGUAGUGGCUUACCAAGGCUUUGACGGGUAGCCGGCCUGAGAGGGUGACCGGCCACAAUGGGACUGCGAUACGGCGCAGACUCCUACGGGAGGCAGCAGUGGAGAACAUUGCACAAUGGGCGGAAGUCUGAUGCAGCAACGCCGCGUGCGGGAUGACGGCCUUCGGGUGGUAAACCGCUUUCGCCGGUGACGAAGCGUGAGUGACGGUAAUGGGUAAAGAAGCACCGGCUAACUACGUG
This 468-nucleotide ribosomal RNA is filed under the name uncultured bacterium. RNAcentral's name for it is "partial 16S ribosomal RNA". It matches the Rfam family "Bacterial small subunit ribosomal RNA", at positions 28 to 507 of the family's 1533-position model. The record is from RNAcentral.